AAUAUUGGACAAUGGGGGCAACCCUGAUCCAGCCAUGCCGCUGAUGUGAAGAAGGUCUUCGGAUUGUCUCGCCCUUUAAGUCGGGAGGAAGGGCUUUAGGUUAAUACACUGAACUAUUGACGUUACCAACAGAAUAAGCACCGGCAAACUGUGUGCACGCAGCCGCGGUAAUACAGAGGGUGCAAGCGUUAAUCGGAAUUACUGGGCGUAAAGCGCGCGUAGGUGGUUCAGUAAGAUGGGUGUGAAAUCCCCGGGCUUAACCUGGGAACUGCUUUCAUAACUGCUGAGCUAGAGUACGGUAGAGGGUAGUGGAAUUUCCUGUGUAGCGGUGAAAUGCGUAGAUAUAGGAAGGAACACCAGUGGCGAAGGCGACUACCUGGACUGAUACUGACACUGAGGUGCGAAAGCGUGGGGAGCAAACA
This 422-nucleotide ribosomal RNA is filed under the name uncultured bacterium. RNAcentral describes it as "partial 16S ribosomal RNA". It matches the Rfam family "Bacterial small subunit ribosomal RNA", at positions 360 to 774 of the family's 1533-position model. The record is from RNAcentral.